Molecule: ribosomal RNA, 549 nt
Filed under: uncultured Aquicella sp.
Lineage: Bacteria; Pseudomonadati; Pseudomonadota; Gammaproteobacteria; Legionellales; Coxiellaceae
Description: bacterial SSU rRNA
Rfam family: Bacterial small subunit ribosomal RNA
Source: RNAcentral
UGGGGAAUAUUGGACAAUGGGCGCAAGCCUGAUCCAGCAAUGCCGCGUGUGUGAAGAAGGCCUGCGGGUUGUAAAGCACUUUCAGUGGGGAGGAAGGCCUCGAUGUUAAUAGUAUCGAGGAUUGACGUUACCUACAGAAGAAGCACCGGCUAACUCUGUGCCAGCAGCCGCAGUAAUACAGAGGGUGCGAGCGUUAAUCGGAAUUACUGGGCGUAAAGGGCGCGUAGGCGGUGCUAUGAGUGUGAUGUGAAAGCCCCGGGCUUAACCUGGGAAGUGCAUCGCAAACGAUAGAACUGGAGUAGAUGAGAGGGUGGCGGAAUUUCCGGUGUAGCGGUGAAAUGCGUAGAGAUCGGAAGGAACGUCAAUGGCGAAGGCAGCCACCUGGCAUCAUACUGACGCUGAGGCGCGAAAGCGUGGGUAGCGAACAGGAUUAGAUACCCUGGUAGUCCACGCUGUAAACGAUGAGGACAAAAUGUUGCUAGGGGAACCUAGCAGUAUUGAAGCUAACGCGAUAAGUCUUCCGCCUGGGAAGUACGGCCGCAAGGUUGA